Molecule: long non-coding RNA, 10046 nt
Filed under: Solanum lycopersicum (tomato)
Lineage: Eukaryota; Viridiplantae; Streptophyta; Magnoliopsida; Solanales; Solanaceae
Description: long non-coding RNA (SLYC_LNC000425)
Source: RNAcentral
AUAAACUAAUAAGUGUAGAAAACAAGGGAGUGAGUGACGAGUGGUGGAUUUCCACUCAUUUAAAUAACAAUCAUUAUUGUUGGGACCCCUCUCUGUCUAGGAUUAUUGCGUACAAGAUGGAUACAUAAUUGAUGUAAGUCUUAUUGUUUUUAAAUGAGAUUGUUCAUACAUAUCCAUACACAACAACAAAAGCAACAUAUCUGAUGUCAUCCCACAAAUAGGAUUUGAAAAGGGUGAGAUAUACACAAACUAGGGUUUGAAAAGAGGAAGAUUUACAAAAACAUCUUGUUGUGAUUGUGAGAAGAGGGGUCCCAACAAUAAUGAUUCACAUGAAUUUCAUAAGGCAGUAGUUUUGAAAUCCAUUUUAGUGUCCCAUAAACUUCAAAAAACUACUCCCCCAUAAAAUCAAUUACUCUAAUCAAUUUUUGGACAAGAAUUCCAUUCAAGUAUUUAUUAAACUCAAGGUAUGUCUUCUUCCCCCUUUCUUCAUCUUUUCUUGAAAUUGUUGAGUUAUUUAUAAAAGGGUAGAUUCUAACCCUUAGUUUUUUUAAAUCAUGAUUGGCGUUGAAAACAUUAUUGUGUAGAGAAUUAUUUUAGUUUAAUGUCCUAUAAUGGGUGUUAAUUGAAUAAGGAUGAAUUUGAGGCUUCAAAUCCUUUAUAAAUGCCAUGAGAACAGGUUACAACUUGUUUAAUGCAAUGCCAAAGUGAAAAAUAUUUUCUAGGCUGAAGUUUUCUAUGCGAUCAUGGUCUCAUCCCGUGAUCACGAUAUCACAUCCCACAAUCACGCCAUAUUAAAAUUUUAAAUUCCAUGAUUGUGAUAUCUAAUCUUGCAAUUACAAUGACACUAAAGGUUGAUGAUCAUGAUCACAACGUCUUAUCCCGUGAUUGCAAUGAGUCGUGUGCUUCGUAUUGAAAACUACCAAAAAUAGUAACUUUUCCUCUAUUGACUCGAUUCUUUUUUAACUCAUUUCAUUGACCUAAUUUCUUUAUCAUACAUUUAUUUACCUGCCAUAGCAUUAAUUUUACAUGCUUGUAUCUUCUAUAGGUAUGCUUUCUGCAAAAGCAUGGACUACGACAACGUCAACCAAAUGGAGGAAAAAAUGGAAGAAAAUAUCAUGGGAGAGGAAAUUUUUAGUCAUGAGCUUUUAAUGUUCGCUAAAUUCAGCGAUUGGAUGUCCACCUCCACAAAAGAAUAUCAUAAAGGAGAGUGGUCCUCUUAUAAAACGUCUCCAUGGGAACAUCAUACUUCUAUGGGAGAUUCGAGGCCAGUGAAUAGAUGUGUUUUGUUUUAAACUAGACAAGGUUAAACACAUGGUGGAUCAAGAUUUCUAUGACAAUAUUGCCGAAGGUAAUUUUUCUAGUGACUUGGUAGUCAUGAUCUGGGCAACCAAGUUUGUUUUCACUUCAUGAGGAUCAAUAAUUAUUAUUGUAUUAAUGAUGUUAAUAAUGAUAUUCACAUGACAAGUACAACGGAAGAGGGCCAAUGGUUGUUUGUGAGAUACUUGCAUGGUGGUCAUAUGCCUAAAUGGAUUAAGAACAACUAGUGGAUUCAUUCCUCAAAAUUCAAAGCUAAAGACAAAAACUUGGGUGUCCGUCAUUUUAAUUCGGGUGAUACCAAUUUUUCUCUUUAUUAGGAGCUUUUGACUUUUCCCAUCACAGAUGGGAUUCCUAUUAAUGUUGGGUGGAUCAUUGUGCAACACAUUCAGUGUAAAAACAAUAAAUAAUAGACCAAGAUUAACAUGUCGAUACAUCAUUGCCUAAUUACUAAUAUAUGUUUUAUUAUCAUUUUGAGGAUUUAAAAUUUUGCGAUAAUUACAACAUUGCUUAUGUAAGACCCCAAAAAUGACCUAGGUUAUCUAGAUACUAACAUGUAAGUAUUGAUUUUCUAAGUUCCUAAAUAUGACUAAAAUAUAGUAUAUAGGCUGUAGCGAAAAUAUUAGAAGUGUUGGAACUCAAACGUAGAGGGACGACCAAGACGUUCGAUGACUAAGUCACCUAAAUGUCUAAAAUGUGGUUGUAUGUGUUUAUGUGUAUUUCAUGGUGUUUUAAGGUUCUUACUUGACUUAAUACAGUAUAUAUAGUCAGUGGUUGAAGUUUCGUGAAGUUUAAAGGUUAAACAACCCAGAACGUCCAAGGCUUUCGAAAGAUAUGCCUUGAGUCGACCUUGUACGUCUAGGCGAUUUUCAUCAUGUUUUACGUGUUAGUUUUGGAUUAAAUUCAUUUGAGAGAUGUUACACAUAUAUACGGUCGUAUUUGGGUUGGAAACGUUUGGGAAAUUUACCCCAAAGACCAUCUAAUAGUCCUUGAGGAAGGACCAAAAAUUAGUGUGCAGGCUGUCCCAUGCAGACCUUGCCGACGGAGAAGUCAACUGCACGUCGUGUCUGUGAUGCCCCUUGAAAUGGUCCCGUAGUGAGGAGUUAGACAAGGGUGAAGAGAGGAAUCUUGAACAGCUAUUUUAGCCAACGACGGAGGGCUGUGACGCCACGUCAUGACUGUGACGGCCUGUCAAGGGCAGGCAUCGCACACAACUGCCUUCUUGCGCACACUGCUGCCAAUUCAAGGGGUGAUUUGGUAAAUUCACCCCACUUGUAAAAUAAGUCACGGAAGGUUUAUUAAGGGUAUCUUCGAUGUUUUAAUUAAAUAUGUAAAGGGUUAUCACAUGGAAAGUAGUUAUGGAACCUUUUUACGUGAACCUUCUUUGGUUGUGUAAAUGUGAUUGGGUUACGAACUAGUUAUGGAAUUAUUUUAUGUGAACCUAAUGUAUGAACUAAUUUAUGAGAACGAAGGCUAGCACCGUGUGUGUCUGGUAAGGGAAUGUAGUUCUAGUUAAGUAUGAGACUAGAAUACAAAGAAGCCUUUCAUAUUCCUUAACAAUGUGCCUACAUGGGAUGUGUCAAAGUUGUACCAUUGGAAAGUAGAACAACAUCAUCAGAGUAGGAUAGAACUCCGGAUUUCAUGUCUUGCUAUCAUGGUCUAUGUCGGUUAUUGCCUGUUCUCAUCAUAUGCAAUACCCAUUAGCAUUUCAGGAGUUUAUGGAGUUUAGAUGGUAGUAUGGGACGCUACGUAGACAUUUCACAAUAGACUUUGAAGGUGUUAUAUAGAUUUACUAGGUCUUCUACAAGACCAUUAUGUGAAUGUCCUUUAUGUUAUGUUUGAUUCUUAAUGAACUAAGGAACUAAUGACUUAUGUUACGGAGUAUGUAAAUAAAUGAGUACCUAAUGUAAUGUCACUUAAGGAUUUCUUAGCUAAAGUGUGAAGAGGGAAUAGGAGAUGAUCUUUUUAUGUCUUCUCUUUGGAAGGAUUGAGUAUGAAUCUUGUUAGGGAAGUAGGUUUAUUUUGUGGGCAUUAUCUAAGUCUUAGGUAGUCUGGAGGACUAUUUAGGAAAUCUUGAAGAGGUCUCUAUGGACGUUAUGUUCUUGAUUUACUUAAGUAGGACUUUUGAUAGUCUUUGGGAAUAGAAUGUCAUAUUAUCUAUGUGUUGGUGAUUUAAGUGAGCAUGAUCCUAUCUUAGGGAGUCUAUUGGAUCUCUUAAGUAUGUGUGUAAGGGAUUGUACGGGCGGUCGCUUCACAACUAACUUAAGUGAGACUUAGAAUUCACCUUUGGUAGAAGAAUCUCACCUUGAUGUUUAUGAUUUCUUUGUAAGUAUGUAUUUGAAUCAUUAAAGGUAAUCUUAAGGGUCGUUUAGGCACAUCUAGAGAGGCCGUAUAAGCGGUCUCUCUUUGUGUGACUUAAGUGAAUCUUAGGAUGACAUUAAGUGGGGAAAUUACAUGCUAGAAGUAUCUUAUGUGUUUCUAAAUUUAUUUAUGAUGUUAUUAUUAUUAUAAUAUGAUUUUAAAUGAAAAGAUACAUAUUUCCAAUACAGUCCAUUUUCAUGAUUUAUAUGCAUAAGCCAUACUUAGUACAUGUGGUUCUACUAAUUCCAUGAUUUUAUCUAGCUAUAAAGUUCUUGGUAGGUGAGUAGCUUUGAGAAGUGAGGACUUAGACUUAAAAGAUUAUUCAAGAGAAGUUGAAGUAUGUCCUACUUGACUUGAGGGCAUAUAUAUGUCUUUUAUGUUUUCGUUCAAAGCAUUGUAAUAGACUAAGCAUUUCUAUAUUUGUAUUUUGAAGUAUGGCCCGUGUCCCAUGUUUUCUUGUGUCUUAAGAUGAUGACAUUGAGACUUAGUAUUUCCUAUUACUUUUAUAUCAAAAAGAUUUUGAAGAAUAUAUUAUGUUUUAUAAAAAGUUUUAAUUUCGCACUACUUUUCACUAUGUACAUGCAAUGAAAAAUAUUAAAGGGCUUGUCUAAGAACUUCGAGUGUUCGACGACCCGUGCCACAGUCAAAGAUUGUGCCCUAACUUCUAGGGAGUUUAUUCGGGUUUUGAGAAAGCUUGGUAUUAGAGCAUAGGAUUGUGAAAGUAGUAUUAGCAAUCAAGAAGUAUCAUCAAGUCACGUCUAGUAGAUUCUUGACGAUCGGGGUGAGUAACAAUAUAUCUAUGGAUGAGAGGCUAUAGAACGAUAGAACUUACCUUCUUUUCUACCCCUACGUCGUGCGGUAAAGUAAAUGUUAUGAUUAUCCUUCUUAUGAGUUUCCUUGUGUUUUCUUGGAGAUGAAUACUAGAAGGAUGGCCGCUAGAAGGUUGAAAGAGGAGAGGGUGGAUGAGGAGGUUCCCCCCCAAGCUUAGAAAGUAGAGCAAGUUCCUCGAGGUUGGCAAUAAGUUCAAGGUGCUAAAGAUGACCAAGUGCCUCCCGAAGGUGAUCCUAUACCAAAUGUAGAAGGAGGUAUUGAGGUUCCGGAGAUGUCUAUUAGGGAGAUUAGAGAGGCUUUGAUUGCUAUCACCCAAGACGUGACUAUGUAAGCUAAUAUGAAUAUGAGGCCUAGGGUUGUGGAGAGCACUAUGACAUCUAGGUUGAGAGAUUCUGUGAGGAUGAAUCCUCCGAUCUUUCUUUGCUCUAAGGUAAAUAAGAAUCCCCAAGAGUUUUUUGAUAUAGUGUACAAAAUUUUCAGUGCUAUGGGGGUUUCAUCUAGGGAGAAGGCGGAGUUGAAUUCGUACCAAUUGAGGGAUGUUUCUCAAAUUUGCUACACUCAAUGAAAGGAUAAUAGGCCAGAAGGAUUGGGUCCUAUUGAAUGGGAAGAAUUUAAAGAAGCUUUUCAUGGUAUGUAGUUUCUCCGGGAGAGGAGAGAAAUUAAGAUGGAGGAGUUUAUCAAUCUAAAGAAAGGCAAUAUGAGUGUUGCGGAGUACUCUUUGAAAUUCUCAACUUUGUCCAGGUAUGCCCCUUCUCUUUUGUCCAAUCCCAGAGAUAAAAUGAUUUGUUUUGUGACGGGGGUAGCCGAUUUAGUGGUGGAAGAGUGUCAUACAACUAUGUUGCAUAAUGAUAUGACCCUAGCUAGACUCUUGGUGUAUGCCCAAUCAAUUUAAAAGUCUAAACACAGGAGGACGAGUAGAAGUUUUAUAAUGAGUUGUGCUAGUGAUCAAGAGCAAACUAGGUUUAAGAAGAAGGUUCAAUCUCAAGGAGAAUCUAAAAGUGCUAAGUUCAAGGUUGAUAAAGGAGGUGGUUUGAAGGAUGGCAAGCGUACUUGGGCAAAUUGUGGCAAGAAAAAUUAUGGUGAGUGUCUAUUUACCGGGAGUCUCUUUUGUUGUGGUAAAGAUGGGCACAAAAUGAGAGAUAUUCCUAUGAUUGCUUCUAGAGGAAGAGAGGAUAAGAAAUUUUCUCCUAGUGUUCCAAAGGAUUAUGCUUCGACUAAGAGGCGUUUAUAUGCACUCCGUUAUAGAGUGGAGAAGCCGGAUCUAAUGUAGAGUGAUGAUGAUGUUGGUAAGUUCUCUUUCUUUGGUGAAGAUAUGAGUCCCUUCUAAGUGGGGGAGUAUAGUUUGUAGAUGGGAUAGAAGUCCUUGAAAUUGCUGCUUGUACAUGAUGUUUAGGAGUUUUGUUGAAAUUGAAUUUCAUUAACUUCUUGCAUUGUGUGUUUUAUGAAGCCAUGAUUAUGUCGUAAGAUGUAUUUAUAUGAUGUUGCUUUGCAUAUUAGCAUUUUUAUAUCAUGAAUUUCUUAAAAAUGUGAAUUUUUGAAAAAUUGCUUAAAGAAAGUCAUAUUUUCCUUAAAAACUGCAUGCUGUCAUAUUUUUAAGAAAAUGACUAAUUGAUUCGUUUGCAAAAAAAAUUCUAAUGUGGUUAGAACUAAUGUAUAUGAUUAGGGUAUUGAUUAUAAAAUGAGUUUUUACUAUUUAAACUGAAGAAUGUGAAGUUGAUGUUUUCUUCUUGUAAAGGUGUUUUAUGGUUUGCUUAUGAGCUGCUAGUUGAGUCACUAAUUUUGGAAGUGUUCGGAGAGUGGAAAGUUUCAUUCGAAGGCGAAUGUUUUCCAAGUGGGGGAGACUGUAAGACCCAAAUAAUGACCUAGCUUAACUUGGGCCUAACAUGUUGGUAUUGAUUUUCUAAGGUCCUAAAUAUGUCUAAAAUAUAGUAUAUAGGCAGUAGCUAAAAUAUUAGAGGUGUUGGAAGUCAAACGUCAAGGGACGACCAAGACGUUCGACGACUAAGUCACCUAAAUGUCUAAAAUGUGGGUCUAUGUUUUUAAGUGUGUUUCAUGGUGUUUAAGGUCCUUAAUUGAGUUAAUAUAGAAUUUAUAGGUAGUGGUUAAAGUUUCUUGAAGUUUGGAGGUCGAACGACAAAGAACGUCCAAGGCAUUCGAAAGAUAUGCCUUGAGUCGACCUUUUACAUCUAGACGAGUAUCAAAAAGUUUUAUGUGUUCGUUAUGGAUGAAAUUCAUGUGAAAGGUUUCAAACUUAUAGAAUAUCGUAUUUGGGUUGGAAACAUCCGGAAAAUUAUCCCCAAGGAUCAUCUAAGAGUCCUUGAAGAAGGACCCAAAAUUAGUAUGCAGGCUGUACCUGGCAGAACUUAGAGUACGGCCCGUCGUGGCUGUGACGCCCAGUCAAAGGGUCCCGUGGUGAGGGAAGUAGAAAAGUGUGAAUAGAGGAAGCUUGUAAAGCUACUUUAGCCAACGACGGUGGGCUUUGACGCCCCGUCGUGGUUGUGACGAACCGUCAAGGGCAGGCGUCGCACGCAACUGCCUUCCUGCGCAGGCUGCUGCCAAGUCAAGGGGUGAAUUGGUAAAUUCGCCCCACUUCUAAAUUUAGUCAUUGAAAGUUUAUUAAGGGUCGUUUGGGUAUUUUAAUUAAAUAUAUAAAAGGUAUUAAUAUUGAAGACCGCAUUCUUCAAAAUCAUAAACCCAAAACUCUUAGAAAAUAUUCCAAAACCUCCAUUGAAGUCCAACUUGAAGAGGAAGGUAGGUGAGGGGUUUUCGUGUCUAAAUUCUUCAUCAAAGUGAAGAAUUAUCAUCCUUGAGGUAUGACUUUUGAUCCUUGAAACUCGUAUCACCAAGGAGCCUAACUCUCAACAUAUUUUUCAAAGUUUUCUAAAGUGAAUUGCCCAAUUUCAUGAUUCUACCAUGGGUUCUUGCAUAAAUGAUUUCUAAACAUUGAAUUAUGAUCUAAUUGUUAUUUUAUUGAUGAUUUCAAUAUAAAUUACCUAUUAACCCAUGAAUUUGGAUGAACCCUAAUUUUUUACUAUAAUGUGGGUUACUUGAUAUUAAGCUAAUAUUGUUGAAUUGUAAUGUAGUUUCUUAUGGGCUUUCUAAUGAUAUUAGAAUUGUAUUCAAUUGUUAUAUAAUUUAUCCUAGAUGGUUAAACCUAAAUUUAAUUGACAGAGAUUUCAUUGGAUUUUAUGAUUAUUGCUUGAAUUGUUUGUUAUGUCCAUGGGUAAGGGCCUUGUGAUGUUGAAUUGGACGACUUAGCAUUGAAUUGAAGUGUGAAUAAGGGGAUGAAGGUAUGCUGCCCGGAAUUCUUUAAUUUUAUAUUAAUUUUACUUCUAUUCUAUUGUGAUUGAUAUGGUCAAAUUAUGGUGGCGGUGUUAUGUGUUUUACUUGUAAUUGACGUGGCCUUAUCGGCGUUACUUUAUGCAAUAUUUUGAGCAUGGCCUUAUUGGAAACUACUUGAAGUUAUGUGGCUAUUUGUGUAGUUUUAUUAUGUGAAGCAUGGUGCUAUCUAUCUACAUGUUAAGUUAUAUAGUAAUAUAUGUAUUCUUCUAGUUAUGUUGCCUUAAGUGAUCAUGUUAGACUUUGACUUGCCAUUAUCAGUAUAGUGUUAGGUUAAGUCUUGGUUAUUUCUAUUUGACUUUAUGAGUCUAUGUGUAGUACAUUUAUGAUGUUUAUAUGAUAUAUAGAUUACUUGAAAUUGUAUAGUUGUUUUAGAGGUGUUUCUAGAAUGACUUGUAUUAUGUGUUAAAAUUGAAGUACGUGAUGCCUUGUCUUGAUUGACUUGUAUAUCAUGCUUGAUGAAUAUAUGAUUAUGAAUAUGCGAUGUCUUGCUAUAGAGUGUUAGAUAUCUUAGCAUUGAAUGUAUGAUUUACAUGUGAAUUUAAAAGAUGUUAUGAGAGUCUCUUAUGUGCAAACCUUGACUUAAGGGUAAGGUUAAGAAUAAAUUAAAGUGUAAGCCAAAAUGGUAUCCUUCAAAGUAAAGGAAUGAUGGAAUUAAGGUUAGUUGGCUUGAACGACAUCAUAUUAAUCUUUAGGAAAGUCGUGAUGAGAUUUUUGUCGCCAUUGUGAGGUAGCCCUAGUGGACUUUCUUUGGUAGGGUAAAUGUGAUUGGGUUAUGAACUAGUUAUGGAACACUUUUAUGUGAACCUAAUGUAUUUUUUACUCUAUGAGGACGAAGGCUAGCAGCGAGUGAGUAUGGUAAGGGAAAGUAGUUCUGGUUAAGCAUGAGACUACAAUAAAAAAAAGAUCUUCAUAUUCAUUAACCAUGUGCCUACAUGGGAUGUGUCCAAUUAUUACCAUAGGCAAGUAGUAAAACCUCAUCGAAAUAGGAUGGAACUUCAGAUUCCAUGUCUUUCUAUCACGGUCUAUGUCGGUUAUUGCCUAUUCUCAGUAUAUGGAAUACCUAUUAGCAUUUGAGGAGUUUAUGGAGUUUAGAUGGUGGUAUGGGACGCUAUCUAGACAUUGCACAAUAGACUUUGAAGGAGUUAUGUGGAGUUCCUAAGUCUUGUUCAAGACCAUUAUAUAAAUGUCUUUUAUGUGAUGUAUUGGUCUUAAUGAACUAAGGAACUAAUCACUUAUGUUAAGAAGUAUGUAAAUAAAUGAGUACGUAAUCUAAAGUGACUUAAGGAUUUCUUAGCUAAAGUGUGAAGAGGGCAUCAGUGAUUAUCUCUUCAUGUCUAAUCUUUGGAAGUCUUAAGUAUGACUCUAGUAAGAGAAGUUAGUUGAUUUUGUGGACAUGAUCUAAUCCUUAGGUAGUCUUAAGGACUAUUUAGGAAAUCUUGAAGAGGUCACUAUUGACGUUAUGUUCUUGAUUUACUUAAGUAGGUCUUUUGAUAGCCUUUGGGAAGAGAAUGUCAUAUCAUCUACGUGUUGGUGAUUUAUGUGAGCAUGAUUCUAUCUUAGGGAGUCUAUUGGAUCUCUUAAGUGUGUGUGUAAUGUAUUGUAUGGGCGGUCGCUACUCGACUCACACAAGUGAGACUUAGAGUUCUUCUUUGGUAGUAGAAUCUUACCUUGAUGUUUAUGAUUGCUUUGUAAAGAUGUAUGUGAAUCAUUAAAGGUAAUCUUAAGAAUCGUUUAGGCACAUCUAGAGAGCGUGUAUGGGCGGUCUAUCUUUGUGUUACUUAAGUAAAUCUUAGGAUUACUAUAAGUGAGGAAAUUACAUGCUAGAAGUAUCUUAUGUGUUUCUAAAUUGAUUGAUGAUGUUAUUAUGAUUAUAAAAUGAUUUUAUAUGAAAAGAGGCAUAUUUCCAAUAAAGUUUGUUUCAUGAUUAUUAUGCAUAGGCCAUACUUAGUACAUGUGGUUGUACUAAUUCCAUGCUUUUAUCUAUCUAUAUUUUUUUUUGUAGGUGAGGAGCUUUGAGAAGUGAGGACUUGGACUUAGAAGAUCUUUAAAGAGAAGUUGAAGUAUGUCCUCACUUGAUUCGAGGGCAUAUAUAUGAAUUUUAUGUUUUCAUUUGAAGUAUUAUAAUAGAAUAAGUACUUCUAUAUUCAUAUUUUGAAGUAUAGAACGUGUCCCAAGUAUUCUUGUGUCUUAAGAUGAUG